AUUUAUAUAGUUUAAUAAAAACAUUACAUUUUCACUGUAAAAUUGAAAUUUCUUUUCUUUA
Molecule: transfer RNA, 61 nt
Filed under: Micrambina sp. MIC01
Lineage: Eukaryota; Metazoa; Arthropoda; Insecta; Coleoptera; Cryptophagidae
Description: tRNA-Glu
Source: RNAcentral